Molecule: ribosomal RNA, 380 nt
Filed under: uncultured eukaryote
Lineage: Eukaryota
Description: partial 18S ribosomal RNA
Rfam family: Eukaryotic small subunit ribosomal RNA
Source: RNAcentral
CAAUAGCGUAUAUUAAAGUUGUUGCAGUUAGAACGCUCGUAGUCGGAUUUCGGGGCAGUCCGACCGGUCUGCCGAUGGGUAUGCACUGGCCGGAGUGUCCUUUUUGCCGGAGACCGUGCCUACUCUUAACUGAGCGGGGGCGGGAGACGGCACUUUUACUUUGAAAAAAUCAGAGUGUUUCAAGCAGGCAGCUCGCUCUUGCAUGGAUUAGCAUGGGAUAAUGAAAUAGGACUUUGGUGCUAUUUUGUUGGUUUCGAACACCGAAGUAAUGAUGAGAAGGGACAGUCAGGGGCACUCGUAUUCCGCAGAGAGAGGUGAAAUUCUCAGACCCGCGGAAGACGAACCACUGCGAAAGCAUUUGCCAGGGAUGUUUUCACUGA